This 916-nucleotide ribosomal RNA is filed under the name Cortinarius carneipallidus. RNAcentral's name for it is "eukaryotic LSU rRNA". It matches the Rfam family "Eukaryotic large subunit ribosomal RNA", at positions 64 to 964 of the family's 3401-position model. The record is from RNAcentral. Lineage: Eukaryota; Fungi; Basidiomycota; Agaricomycetes; Agaricales; Cortinariaceae.
ACUAACAGGAUUCCCCUAGUAACUGCGAGUGAAGCGGGAAAAGCUCAAAUUUAAAAUCUGUCAGUCUUUGGCUGUCCGAGUUGUAAUCUAGAGAAGUGUUAUCCGCGCUGGACCGUGUACAAGUCUCCUGGAAUGGAGCGUCAUAGAGGGUGAGAAUCCCGUCUUUGACACGGACUGCCAGGGCUUUGUGAUGCGCUCUCAAAGAGUCGAGUUGUUUGGGAAUGCAGCUCAAAAUGGGUGGUAAAUUCCAUCUAAAGCUAAAUAUUGGCGAGAGACCGAUAGCGAACAAGUACCGUGAGGGAAAGAUGAAAAGAACUUUGGAAAGAGAGUUAAACAGUACGUGAAAUUGCUGAAAGGGAAACGCUUGAAGUCAGUCGCGUUGACCAGGGAUCAACCCUUGCUUUUGCUUGGUGUACUUUCUGGUUGACGGGUCAGCAUCAAUUUUGACUAUUGGAAAAAGAUCAGGGGAAUGUGGCAUCUUUGGAUGUGUUAUAGCCUCUGGUUGUAUACAAUGGUUGGGAUUGAGGAACUCAGCACGCGCCGCAAGGCCGGGUUUUUAACCACGUACGUGCUUAGGAUGCUGGCAUAAUGGCUUUAAUCGACCCGUCUUGAAACACGGACCAAGGAGUCUAACAUGCCUGCAAGUGUUUGGGUGGAAAACCCGAGCGCGUAAUGAAAGUGAAAGUUGAGAUCCCUGUCGUGGGGAGCAUCGACGCCCGGACCAGAUCUUUUGUGACGGUUCCGCGGUAGAGCAUGUAUGUUGGGACCCGAAAGAUGGUGAACUAUGCCUGAAUAGGGUGAAGCCAGAGGAAACUCUGGUGGAGGCUCGUAGCGAUUCUGACGUGCAAAUCGAUCGUCAAAUUUGGGUAUAGGGGCGAAAGACUAAUCGAACCAUCUAGUAGCUGGUUCCUGCCGA